GCCGUAAACGAUGAGUGCUAAGUGUUAGAGGGUUUCCGCCCUUUAGUGCUGCAGCUAACGCAUUAAGCACUCCGCCUGGGGAGUACGGUCGCAAGACUGAAACUCAAAGGAAUUGACGGGGGCCCGCACAAGCGGUGGAGCAUGUGGUUUAAUUCGAAGCAACGCGAAGAACCUUACCAGGUCUUGACAUCCUCUGCCACCUCUAGAGAUAGAGCGUUCCCCUUCGGGGGACAGAGUGACAGGUGGUGCAUGGUUGUCGUCAGCUCGUGUCGUGAGAUGUUGGGUUAAGUCCCGCAACGAGCGCAACCCUUGUUCUUAGUUGCCAGCAUUCAGUUGGGCACUCUAAGGAGACUG
RNAcentral lists this ribosomal RNA (354 nucleotides) under Bacillus sp. LS-9C. Its description in RNAcentral is "bacterial SSU rRNA". It matches the Rfam family "Bacterial small subunit ribosomal RNA", at positions 799 to 1151 of the family's 1533-position model. Lineage: Bacteria; Bacillati; Bacillota; Bacilli; Caryophanales; Bacillaceae. RNAcentral also lists the same sequence under 1 other name. The record is from RNAcentral.